AAUCCUCUUUUCUUAGGGGAUAAAGAAGGAUUAAUCUGUAUUUAAUAAAUUAAGAAAAGAGGCCCCAAAUAUGGGAGAGUGAGUGGAUUCUUCAGUAUUAUCCAGAAAUGCUACAUUACGAGGGCCUUAGAAGCAACUGAGCCUCACCCACCCAAGCAAGAAUCCCUCUUCGACUCCCCCACCUUCAGGAUCUCUCUUUGUUUUAUGACUGCACUGUGAUCAAAUUCAAAAUUCUGGCCAAGAGCUUUAGACUGUAUUAGUGGGUUAAUGAAGAAGCAGGAUUUCCCUGAAUGUCUAUAUUAGUAGCACAAAGGGGUGUUCAGAUUGCCAGCUUAUCUUAUGUUUCCAUACAGCCUGGUUCCUAAUCUACAGAGAGGAAGCUCACCAGAAUUCCAGCCAAGGAGACGGCUGUCCUCACUGGGGAUUUGAUCAAGAUAAAAACAUGGCCCAGCCAAGACGGAAGAAAUCCAUAUGGAGUCAGUUAAUGCAUUGCUGUCUGGGUAACACAGCUGUCCGUGCCAGGCGAGAUGCAGUUUGGAUGAGCACAGUUAUGUUCCUAUGUCUGGGUCUGGCUCUGCCGUUCCCCCACCCCGCUCCAAACAGGUAGUCAUCUGGCUUUGCAUGGAAAGGAGCUCACACCUUGGAUAUCUUAAAGGUUUGACUGGAAUAAUAAAUGAUGUUUCCUUAUUAUUAUCACCGUUGAUGGUGACAAUGAUGAAUGUGACAGCUAGAGUGCCUUAGGAGUUGAAGAAGCCGCUUCCUCACAAUAAUCUUUGGUGUUAUGGAUGUUUAUUGUUGUAUGUUGAAAUCAUGCAUGUUUUAUUAUCUUGAAAGAUAAGGAGAAAGCGCAGAGAGUGGAGUUGAAUUGGUAAAUAUCACAAGGCUGGUAGGUAUCAGAAUCAGGACUCCAUCAUAGGUCUUCUGACUUGAAAUCCAAUAAUGGUUGCUUAAUGAAUGCUGGUUGCAUGGGGAGAUGUGUGAACAAAUGAAUGAGUGAAUGAAUUUUAUGUGGUGAGGUUUCUUAAAUCCACAUAGUUCAUAUUAACUUCAAAGUUUUCUAAAAUCCUCAUUAAUUUCAGAAAUCUCAGAACUAAUUUAAAAAUACCACAGCCUUUGUAAAUAGAUAAAAUCCUAAUAAAAUCAGGAGCAAGAAAAAAGAUCUAUUAAUAUUGAUAAUGAAUAUAGCUUAAGGUUGCAUCUACUCAGAAUAUACAAAGAAAAUGAUUUUUAAA
Sarcophilus harrisii (Tasmanian devil) is the source of this 1232-nucleotide long non-coding RNA. RefSeq lists it as uncharacterized. Lineage: Eukaryota; Metazoa; Chordata; Mammalia; Dasyuromorphia; Dasyuridae. The record is from RefSeq and is a predicted model, not a curated record. The transcript is spliced from 3 exons.